GCGACCCCAGGAUGGGCGAGGCCACCCGCUGAGUUUAAGCAUAU
Molecule: ribosomal RNA, 44 nt
Filed under: Liparis fujisanensis
Lineage: Eukaryota; Viridiplantae; Streptophyta; Magnoliopsida; Asparagales; Orchidaceae
Also listed under: 1 other name
Description: partial 28S ribosomal RNA
Source: RNAcentral